GGCGAGAUCGCCAAGCGGUCCAAGGCGCUGGUUUUAGGAACCAUUCCCCUCGGGGGCGUGGGUUCGAAUCCCACUCUCGUCA
RNAcentral lists this transfer RNA (82 nucleotides) under Angiostrongylus costaricensis. It matches the Rfam family "tRNA". From Rfam's summary of the family: Transfer RNA (tRNA) molecules are approximately 80 nucleotides in length. Lineage: Eukaryota; Metazoa; Nematoda; Chromadorea; Rhabditida; Metastrongylidae. The record is from Rfam by way of RNAcentral.